CCUACGGGAGGCAGCAGUGAGGAAUAUUGGUCAAUGGGCGGAAGCCUGAACCAGCCAAGUCGCGUGAGGGAUUACGGCCCUAUGGGUCGUAAACCUCUUUUGUCAGGGAGCAAGGUCGUCCACGUGUGGGCUUCUGGAGAGUCCCUGAAGAAAAAGCAUCGGCUAACUCCGUCCCAGCAGCCGCGGUAAUACGGAGGAUGCGAGCGUUACCAGGAUUUAUUGGGUUUAAAGGGUGCGUAGGCGGGACAUUAAGUCAGCGGUAAAAUUGCGGGGCUCAACGCCGUAGAGCCGUUGAAACUGGUGCUCGUGAGUGAGCGAGAAGUAUGCGGAAUGCGUGGUGUAGCGGUGAAAUGCAUAGAUAUCACGCAGAACCCCGAUUGCGAAGGCAGCAUACCGGCGCGCAACUGACGCUGAGGCACGAAAGUGCGGGUAUCGAACAGGAUUAGAUACCCUAGUAGUC
This 460-nucleotide ribosomal RNA is filed under the name uncultured bacterium. RNAcentral's name for it is "partial 16S ribosomal RNA". It matches the Rfam family "Bacterial small subunit ribosomal RNA", at positions 338 to 795 of the family's 1533-position model. The record is from RNAcentral.